Molecule: long non-coding RNA, 5130 nt
Filed under: Hordeum vulgare
Lineage: Eukaryota; Viridiplantae; Streptophyta; Magnoliopsida; Poales; Poaceae
Description: long non-coding RNA (HVUL_LNC016965)
Source: RNAcentral
UCGUGAUGCAGCAUAUGAGGUUGACGGUCUAUUAUCUUUAUCAGCAGAAUCCAUGCCCUUUGACGUAGUACCAACACAAUCAGAUAUCACUUGAGUUCUUGGUGCAACACCUCGCGAUGCCGCUGAUGAGGUGGACGAUGUGCUAGCUUUAUCAGCAAAAUCCAACCCUUUUGAUAUAGCACUGAUACCAUCAGAACCAACCCUUUUUCGCGGAGAAACCCCCCGCAGCGAAGAUGAUGUGGAUGGUCUGUUAUCUUUUUCAGAAAAAUCUGCGCUUCUUGGUAUAGCAUCAAUAGCAUCAGAGGCAAGUCUUCGUCUUGGGGAAGAUACCGCUCGAGAUGGAACCGAGGAGAUGACUGUUCUGCUGUCCUUCUCAGCAGAAUCCAUAUUUUUGACAAUAGCAUUAACGCCAUCGGAAGCAAGUGGCCUUCUUGGCGAAGUCCCUCUAGAUGAAGCUGGUCUCUUAUCCUUUCCAGGGACAUCAGUGUUUUUUGAUAUACCACCAAUGCUGCCGCCAGAUGCUGCUGAUGUUCUAGGCGAACGUCCCCGUGAAGAGGCCGGGGAAGAAGCAUGUCCAUUCGGUUUCUCGGAAGAUCUUGUGGUUUGCGAUGUAGCAUUGGACACAGUUGGUACUGUGACGCUUGGCGAAACCCCAGGCGAUGACAUUGCGGAGGAGAGCAUGCUGUAAUCUCUUUCUGUAAGAUCCAUGCUCUUGGACAGGGCCCUUGCUGUUCUCACAGGAGAAAUCAUCCCUCUUGAUGGAACUGCCAAGGCUGCAGGCCUGGCAUCUUUACCAUCAGUGAUGCUGCUUUUUGAUGUAUCAGAUGUGCCAUUUGAAGCAGUUGAUCUUCUAGGCGACUCCUCCCCACGCGACGAGGAGACCAAUCGAUCGAUUUUAUCGGCGAGAUCAAUGCUUCUUGACAGGGCGCUUGCGGCGGAUGAAACCGAUGUCGUCCUCUUGGGCGAAGCCCCGCCGCGUGAUGACAGGGCCGGUCUGUGCAUCUUGUCAGUGAGAUCCACGCUCCUGGACAUGGCGCUGCCGGACACCCUGCCCCCCAUCAUGGCCGGCCAGCGGUGGUGGUCAAUCAUCCUGGCGUGCGGGUUCUCCGGCUGCUCGCCGCCGCCAGUGCGCCCCCUCAUGGGGCUCCUCUUCCUGUCGGCGGCCGCCACGGCGUCCCUCGCCCUGGCCUGAUCUGGCGCGGCCCUCCUGUCCCUGGACUCGAGCUGUAGCGAGGAGGAGAGGUUCCGCAUUGAUGGCCACAGCCCGUCGGGGGCCCGGCCGCCGCCUGACAGCCUCCUCGGGGCGCUCUGCGUGUCGGAGACGGCGUCGCGCACGGGCGUGGAGGAGCUGGAGGAGGACGAGGAGGGGCUGGAGGGCGGCGACGUCGGCGCGGAGAUCCUGGACGGCGCGGCCUCCCUGGAGCCGGCCCCGCCGGAGGCCGGCCUCGCCGGGCUCCCGGACCGCCGCUCGGUGGACGGGGACCUCUUGGGCUGCGACCCAGCCGCCCCCGCAGCGGCAUUCGGCGAGGGGUGCCGCCUCGGGGUGGCAGGCGCGCCGGCAUUCGGCGAGGGGUGCCGGCGCGGGGUCGCCGGCCUGCGCUGCGUCACCGGCAGCGCGUCGUCGUGGUGGGCGUCCUCAGAUUUCCGCUGCCGCAGCAGCGGCCCGCAGGCGUCCCCCAUGCGCGCAACCACCAGCGGCCGGGGUCAGUCAGAGCCACCCUCCGCAUUGACAGCGCCGCCGCGGAGCCGCCACCAGCAGCGCCUGCAAAACGAGACAAGACAAGCCAAUGCGGUUCAGACAGGGACCGGGAACCAACCGGCGGAUUAACCCCGCGGAAUCGGACGGGGACUCGGACCAGAUCGAGGCGGGCGGCGGGAGGAGCGCGAUUCGGCGGGUGGGAGGAGGAAGGGAAGGAAAGGAAAGGGGGCUGUUUUCCGGGGGAAGAGAAUUCCCCUCCCUCCGGCUUUGGGGAGGAGGAGGAGGAAUAAUUUACGCGCGCGUCGUAGGAAUCGGGGCGUCUCUUUCGGGUUGGUGGUGGUGGUGCAGCGGAGGGGGCGGACGACUGGGCAGUCGGUGCUGGCGGAGGGGAGCGGGCUGCCACCUGAUGCCGAUGGAUGGAGGGAGGGAGGGAGGGAGGGAGCUCACGGGAACUCCACGCCCAGCUCCCGCACGCCGAGUAAUGGCGAAGCCACGCCUCCGUAGAGAGAGGGGGGAAGGGAGCGUGGAGAGGAGAGAGAGGGAGGGAGGGAGGGGGUUGGUUGUAAACGGGGGAAGGAGGCCACCACUUCGCUCGCUCGCUGGGUUAAGGACGGACGACGCGACUAACUACAACUGAAUGCGAUGAUUAGUACUACACCCCCAAGCCAAAGCCCACAUUAAUCUGCGGCGUAGGAGGAGGAGGAGGAGUACUUGGAUGAAAUUAAUUAAGGGGAGGGGAGAUGAAUGCAAGUGGGCGUCUGUUUCCCUCUGGCGGGUAGUAAAAGGCAUUGAGAAUUGGGGGUGGUAAAAAAGGCGGAGUAUGAAAAGGAAAACGGAAUGUUGCCGUUGGGCUGGAGCCAGAGCCGGGUGCCGGGCUGGUGCGAUGGCAACGGCUAGCUCGCGGGCGUGCGGCAGAUGGCGGGGCCUCCUCUGCUCCCUCGUCGUCGUCGUCGCAGUCAGUCUCGCAUCGCAGGGGAGCGGGUCAAUCGCCGGGAAGGAGGAAACGGACGCUCCAGAAGCUGCUGAUCAGUAGUGCCCCACGACAAAAUAAAGGAAAACAAAAAUAAGAUUGGUCCUCCGGUCUGAUUGGAGGCUCGAGGAGGCGAUCGGCGGCGCCAACGAGACCGAGGCCUACCGCGAGCUUGUUUAUUUAUUUUUCUUGAAGGAAUCAGAGGGCGAGGCAUGAGCCCCAUGCGACAUCGAGCCCCCACCCGACACGCAGGCGAUCGGGACACGGCCGCGGCUUCGCCUCCCUCCCUCCAGGAACAAUGCCCCCGCCACCGCCACCGCCACCCCCAGGCCCAAAGCAUCGCGCCGGCAGACGCAGAGCCCAAAAUCGACGGUAGAAUCGAAGGAGAGGCGAGCCCGAUGCUGACCUCGUCGUCGUCGUCGCGGCCGGCGAAUCGGCGUCGCCGCCAACGCCGGGGGACGGGGUCGCCGCGCCUGCCCGAAGGGGUCCCGAAACGAAUCGAGGUCGCGAUCGCGUAGGGCGUGCCCGUGCGUGCGGGGAAGGCAAGGGAAGCGGGAGGGGGUCUCUCGCGCGCGGUUCGCCCGACGAAAGCGACGCUGCUCGGUGCCUGGCUGUGAUGGACCAGACUUUACCUUUUUCUUAUUAUUGCGCGACGCGUCUGGUCUUCCAUGUCAAUGGAAAAAUAUAAAAAGAAAUGGGAAUUGCUAGUUUUUAUUAUUAGAUAAAACAUUGUUGUUUUCAUUAUUGAGCUCAAGUGGUUGCUGGGAACUUGAUUAUAAUCAAUUGCAGUCGUUAUUAUUAAUAAAAGGUAAAAAAGUAAAUCUCAGUACGACUACGCUGUACCUUUCCUCUUUCCCACCUUUUUUGUAAUUAAAAGUUGCUUGAUCCACGAACGAAUGCUUCUCAUCCAAUGGGCCGAUAGAUGAUCACUGGCUAAACUAAGCUAAGCUAAGCUAGGCCACUUCAUGGGGAGCAUCAUUUCUCAUCCUUCUUUUGCUGCGUGCGUGCCGCCUCUGAUUAUGGAGAUUAAGCGAGUGCGUAAGCAGUGAUUAAAAACUGCCGCGGCACGGCGCUCCGCGGUGAGUGGCCUACCACCACCACGCACCAGCUCCCCUACUGAUGAGAUGAGAUGAGAUGAGAUGAGGUGAGAUGAGGUGAGAUUGUACCGUUGCGUUGCUAGGGGAGGAGAAAAGUGUAGCCCUAGUGACAAGCGCUUCCUUCGCACUCUACUUUCACGUCUCCAUCAGUGACCCAAGCCUUGUUUCUUGUCCCUGCUAUUUCUGUUUCGGAACCUCGCACUUUGUUUUCCUCUGUAAGCAAUGAAAUCUCGAUUUCUCUCUAUAUAUAAUAACACACUUGUUUUACGCAAUAAAAAGUGCACUAGGCAUGGUUGUAUUGCCCACAAGGGCAUGUACUCUCUCCGUCCCAAGAUAACUGAAGUUUAAGAUUUUUUCCCAGGCCAAAACCUGUUUAGGUUUGACCAGAUUCAUUUAUAGAAAAAUGUGUUGAGAUCUACAGUACUGACCAAAUACACAUCGCAUGAAAAUAUAUUUUUGUAAAGAAUGUCGUGAGACUAAUCUGGUGUUCCCGAUAUUAGUGUGCUUUUACAUAAACUUGGUCAAACAGAAGCAAAUAUGACUUGGGGGUAAACCUUCAACUUCAAUUGUUUAGGAACGGAGGGAGUACGGAAUAGAGUAAUGUCCAUCGGUGUGUCCGAUUUACAUGGUGUUCCUAGAAAAACUUACACGGAGAUUUUUAUUUCUUGUUUUUGUCUAUGCUAAGUCGGUCAUGUCUCCCAAGGCCCUAAGCCUAGGUAUUCUACAAUCAUUUUUUUGUAGUUAUCAAUUAAUUGAAAAUGGUUGUUAGGACAAUUAACCACCGCAAGCACUAUUUCUCCAUUUUAAGCAAGUGCUUUGGUGGAUUCCCAAGUUUAUAUACCUGAAAGAAGAACUUUGCAAAUUGUGGGUUUAGCUGCGAUUUGCUGUGAUAUUUGAAAGUCGCAAAACAUCGUAUGUUUCGAACAUAAACUGCCUAAGUCUCAUGCUUAAUUCAUUUGUCAUGCAUGUUAAUUUAUGCCCUAUCUAGGCAUGUCUACAAACUAAUGGCAGCUGUGUGACACUAGAGCAAGGAACAACGGUGCUACAUCAGGAAAAGCUAGAGAUGCAAGGUGGUGGACAAGUGAAGCGAAAGAACGAGAUGUUGUGGUUGAAGAGGAAGAUGGCAACCAACCAGGACAAUGAAGUAGAAAUGGAUGUACAUUGAAGAAAAAAGAAAAGGAGGGUAAAAAGACGAGAAGAUUGAAGAGGAAAAAACUAAGGAAGUGUCUAGAACUCAUCUGGAUGAAAUAUAAUUUGGUCUCGUUCACUUGGAAACACAAAGACAAAUAUAAUGUAGUACUGUAACCCACAUCGACGCACGCACAUCUUAUGAUAUCAAUUCAAUGGCUAUAAAGAUAUAUGAG